GACGAACGCUGGCGGCGUGCCUAAUACAUGCAAGUAGAACGCUGAAGGAGGAGCUUGCUCUUCUGGAUGAGUUGCGAACGGGUGAGUAACGCGUAGGUAACCUGCCUGGUAGCGUGGGAUAACUAUUGGAAACGAUAGCUAAUACCGCAUAACAGUAGAUGUUGCAUGACAUUUACUUAAAAGGUGCAAUUGCAUCACUACCAGAUGGACCUUCGUUGUAUUUGCUUGUUGGUGGGGUAACGGCUCACCAAGGCGACGAUACAUAGACGACCUGUGAGGGUGGUCGGGCAAACUGGGAGGGAGAAAGGGCACAGAAGCAUACGGGAGGGAGCAGGAGGGAAACGUGGGAAAGGGACGGAAGACAGACCGAAAAAAGACGAGGGAGUGAAGAAGGGUUUCGGAUCGUAAAGCUCUGUUGUAAGAGAAGAAAGAGUGUGAGAGUGGAAAGUUCACACUGUGACGGUAUCUUAACAGAAAGGGACGGCUAACUACGUG
This 495-nucleotide ribosomal RNA is filed under the name uncultured bacterium. RNAcentral's name for it is "partial 16S ribosomal RNA". It matches the Rfam family "Bacterial small subunit ribosomal RNA", at positions 28 to 507 of the family's 1533-position model. The record is from RNAcentral.